CAAGUAGAACGGGCGUAACAAUAAGUAAGCGGCAGAGGGGUGAGUAACGCGUGGGAGCGUAGUUUUUGGUUCGGAACAACACAGGGAAACUUGUGUUAAUACCGGAUAAGCCCUUACGGGGAAAGAUUUAACGUUGAAAAGAACGGCUCGCGUCUGAUUAGCUAGUUGGUAGGGUAAUGGCCUACCAAGGUGAACAUCAGUAGCUGGUCUGAGAGGAUGAUCAGUUACAUAGGGACUGAGACACGGCUUAAACUCCUACGGGAGGCAGCAGUGGGGAAUAUUGGACAAUGGGGGCAACCCUGAUCCAGCUAUGCCGCGUAAGUGAUGAAGGCCCUAGGGUUGUAAAGCUCUUUUGUGCGGGAAGGUAAUGACGGUACCGCAAGAAUAAGUUCCGGCUAACUUCGUGCUAGCAGCUGCGGUAAUACGAAGGGGGCUAGCGUUGCUCGGAAUUACUGGGCGUAAAGGGUGCGUAGGCGGGUUUUUAAGUUAGGGGUGAAAUCCUGGAGCUCAACUUCAGAACUGCCUUUGAUACUGAAGAUCUUGAGUUCCGGAGAGGUGAGUGGAACUGCGAGUGUAGAGGUGAAAUUCGUAGAUAUUCGCAAGAACACCAGUGGCGAAGGCGGCUCACUGGCCCGGUACUGACGCUGAGGCACGAAAGCGUGGGGAGCAAACAGGAUUAGAUACCCUGGUAGUCCACGCCGUAAACGAUGAAUGCCAGCCGUUAGUGGGUUUACUCACUAGUGGCGCACCUAACGCUUUAAGCAUUCCGCCCGGGGAAUACCGUCGCAAGAUUAAAACUCCAAGGAAUUGACGGGGGCCCGCACAAGCGGUGGAGCAAGUGGUUUAAUUCGACGCAACGCGCAGAACCUUACCAGCCCUUGACAUGUCCAGGACCGGUCGCAAAGAUGUGACCCUCUCUUCGGAGCCUGGAACACAGGUGCUGCAUGGCUGUCGUCACCUCGUGUCCUGAAAUGUUGGGUUAAUUCCCCCAACGAGCGCAACCCCCCUCCUUAGUUGCUACCAUUUAUUUUAACACUCUAAGAAAACUGCCGGUUAUAAGCCGCGAGAAAAGUGGGGAUUACAUCCAAUCCUCAUGGCCCUUCCCGGCUGGGCUACCCCCCUCCUUCAAUGGCGGUUACAAUGGGAUGCUAAGGGGCGACCCUUC
This 1165-nucleotide ribosomal RNA is filed under the name Bradyrhizobium sp. RNAcentral describes it as "bacterial SSU rRNA". It matches the Rfam family "Bacterial small subunit ribosomal RNA", at positions 58 to 1266 of the family's 1533-position model. The record is from RNAcentral. Lineage: Bacteria; Pseudomonadati; Pseudomonadota; Alphaproteobacteria; Hyphomicrobiales; Nitrobacteraceae.